RNAcentral lists this non-coding RNA (25 nucleotides) under Mus musculus (house mouse). The record is from RNAcentral. Lineage: Eukaryota; Metazoa; Chordata; Mammalia; Rodentia; Muridae.
UGAUGUGGUGCAUGGGGGUGUGAGA